GUGGCUGGCACUUCGCGCGUCUGGAAGUACGACUCUUACUUUCCACCUGGCAGCAAGUUGACAGCUUUUGAAAAUGCAGUCGGAAUCGGGGAUCGUGGCCGACUUUGAAGUCGGAGAGGAAUUUCACGAGGAGCCUAAAACAUAUUACGAGCUGAAGAGCCAGCCGCUGGAAAGCAGUAAUUCAUCUGAGCA
Sinocyclocheilus grahami is the source of this 192-nucleotide long non-coding RNA. RefSeq lists it as uncharacterized. NCBI's taxonomy places the organism in Eukaryota, Metazoa, Chordata, Actinopteri, Cypriniformes, Cyprinidae. The record is from RefSeq and is a predicted model, not a curated record. The transcript has 3 exons.